GCAGAAUCCUGUCAGCUUCCAAAUUAGCUGAAGGUUUUGGCUUUAACAUAAAUACCCAUCAGCGUCACCCCCGCAAUCUGAAAGGCCUUAAGGGGCACAUUUGUUCCCACGUGGAGCAGAAACUAAAGUGGGACCAAAUGGUCCCUGUGAAAGCUGGGCUAACCCACUUUCCUUGCAGCUCCAGGCCUCUGGGGUUUCAUCCAAGCUGCUCUUUGAAGGCCACACUGUGUCAAAGCCUUUGUUGAUGCCAGGGACACAGCCCACCACAGGCCAUGCCCAAAGGCCAGAGUCAGAGCACAAUUUUGAAGAUUACAGAAAACUCCAAAGAGAUUGAAGAGAUGGAAUAAAGGAUCCCAGCCCCCGAAAAGAGAAAGCUUUGUGUCUGUAGCCAUAGCCCUUGGCAAUCAGACAUCCUCCUCACUAAUGUGAGGUCAGGAGGGGACUAGAAGUGCUCAGAGGAUGGACUGCCUCUGGCCAGUGCAGGGGAGAGGCAGGGGUGUUGAGGCACAGGAGCCAGAUGAGAGGAACGUCAGCAGCAAAGCAGGUGGACAGCACGGAAGAGGCAGUACAUCUUAACAAAAUCAGGGUUCUGGAUGAAGGGAGGGGUGGUGAAUGGUUGCUGCAAUCAACAGUUCAUACUUCAAUGGAAAGAAGGUGGGAUUUGAUUCCUGGCUGCAAAUCUUCACUCUGUCACCUGCUAUCUGUGUGCCCUCAGUCUCCCAUCAAGGAGUGAUGUCUGUUUCUCCACUUCUUGAAUCUGGGCUGGCCUUGCCAAUAGCAUAUGGCAGAAGUGACAUCGUUCCAUUUCUGAGUCAAAGCCUGAGGAGGCCUUGCAUGCUUCUACUCUCUCUUGCAACCCUGCACUGCCACAUAUCAACAAGACUUAUCAACAAGCCUGGGAUAGCCUGCUAGAUGAUGAAAGAAAUAUGGCCCGCUUGCUCCCAUCACUCCAGCUGAUAGCCAGGCAACCCUAAGAAGCAAAGUCACCUAGCUGAUUAGUAGCUGACCACUGACACAAAAGUAAGAUCAUCUGAGACCAGAAGACAGCCCAUCUGAGCUCAGCCCAAAUUACUGACCCACAAAGUAAUAAUAAAUAAAUGGUUAUUAUUUUU
RNAcentral lists this long non-coding RNA (1112 nucleotides) under Homo sapiens (human). Its description in RNAcentral is "HSALNT0382179". Lineage: Eukaryota; Metazoa; Chordata; Mammalia; Primates; Hominidae. The record is from RNAcentral.